GUCGGCCACUCAGAGGUG
This 18-nucleotide unclassified non-coding RNA is filed under the name Mus musculus (house mouse). RNAcentral's name for it is "oocyte_clustered_small_RNA5778". Lineage: Eukaryota; Metazoa; Chordata; Mammalia; Rodentia; Muridae. The record is from RNAcentral.